GCAGGUGAAGUGUUGUGGUGACACACCGGUACGCCAUGCCGGGAUCGCGGGUUCGAUUCCCGCCACCUGCUCCA
Molecule: transfer RNA, 74 nt
Filed under: Kofleriaceae bacterium
Lineage: Bacteria; Pseudomonadati; Myxococcota; Haliangiales; Kofleriaceae
Description: tRNA-Gly
Rfam family: tRNA
About the family: Transfer RNA (tRNA) molecules are approximately 80 nucleotides in length. Their secondary structure includes four short double-helical elements and three loops (D, anti-codon, and T loops).
Source: RNAcentral